RNAcentral lists this ribosomal RNA (445 nucleotides) under uncultured bacterium. RNAcentral describes it as "bacterial SSU rRNA". It matches the Rfam family "Bacterial small subunit ribosomal RNA", at positions 336 to 797 of the family's 1533-position model. The record is from RNAcentral.
UUCCUACGGGUGGCUGCAGUGAGGAAUAUUGCUCAAUGGGCGAAAGCCUGAAGCAGCAACGCCGCGUGCGCGAUGAAGGUCUUCGGAUCGUAAAGCGCUUUUGAGAGGGACGAGAUAGGACGGUACCUCUUGAAUAAGUCACGGCUAACUACGUGCCAGCAGCCGCGGUAAAACGUAGGUGGCAAGCGUUAUCCGGAUUCACUGGGCGUAAAGCGAGUGCAGGUGGUUGUGUAAGUUGGAUGUGAAAUUUCCAAGCCUAACUUGGAAGGGUCAUUCAAUACUGCGCGACUUGAGGGCAGAAGAGGGGGGUGGAAUUGCCGGUGUAGUGGUGAAAUGCGUAGAUAUCGGCAGGAACACCUGUGGCGAAAGCGGCCCCCUGGUCUGAUCCUGACACUCAGACUCGAAAGCUAGGGUAGCGAACGGGAUUAGAUACCCGAGUAGUCGA